This 440-nucleotide ribosomal RNA is filed under the name uncultured bacterium. Its description in RNAcentral is "partial 16S ribosomal RNA". It matches the Rfam family "Bacterial small subunit ribosomal RNA", at positions 338 to 795 of the family's 1533-position model. The record is from RNAcentral.
CCUACGGGAGGCAGCAGUGGGGAAUAUUGCACAAUGGGCGAAAGCCUGAUGCAGCAACGCCGCGUGAGUGAAGAAGGAUUUCGGGGUGUAAAGCUCUAUCAGCCGGGAAGAAAAUGACAGUACCUGACUAAGAAGCCACUGCUAACUACGUGCCAGCAGCCGCGGUCAUACGUAGGGGGCACGCGUUAUCCGGAUUUACUGGGUGUAAAGGGAGCGUAGACGGCUGCGCGAGGCAGACGUGAAAGCCCGGGGCUUAACCGCGGGACUGCCUUUGAAACUGGAUAGCUAGAGUGCAUGAGAGGUAAGUGGAAUUCCUAGUGUAGCGGUGAAAUGCGUAGAUAUGAGGCGGAACACCGGUGGCGAAGGCGGCUUACUGGACUGCAACUGACGCUGAGGCUCGAAAGCGUGGGGAGCAAACAGGAUUAGAUACCCGGGUAGUC